GAAACAUUACCUCCAUCCCAAAUUACUUGUCUUUGAUUUAUCUAGAUACGGAUGUAUCUAACACUAAAACAUGUCUAGAUACACCCGUAUAUAGACAAAUCUAAGCCAAGUAAUUUGGGAUGGAGGGAGUACCAU
This is a non-coding RNA of Hordeum vulgare subsp. vulgare (domesticated barley), 135 nucleotides long. The record is from Rfam. Lineage: Eukaryota; Viridiplantae; Streptophyta; Magnoliopsida; Poales; Poaceae.